RNAcentral lists this ribosomal RNA (378 nucleotides) under uncultured eukaryote. RNAcentral describes it as "partial 18S ribosomal RNA". It matches the Rfam family "Eukaryotic small subunit ribosomal RNA", at positions 592 to 976 of the family's 1831-position model. The record is from RNAcentral.
CAAUAGCGUAUAUUAAAGUUGUUGCAGUUAAAAAGCUCGUAGUUGGAUUUCGGAGCGAAACGCAUGGUCGACCUAACGGUUUGUACCAGGCGGCUCGUUCUUCCUUCUGUGAUUGCGCGUGUGGCAUUGAUUUGUUGUGCGUGUGAUGCAGGACGUUUACUCUGAAUAAAUUAGAGUGUUUAAAGCAGGCCUUUGCUUGAAUACAUUAGCAUGGAAUAAUAGAAUAGGACUUUGGUCUUAUUUUGUUGGUUUCUAGGACCGAAGUAAUGAUUAAUAGGGACAGUUGGGGGCAUUAAUAUUUAAUUGUCAGAGGUGAAAUUCUUGGAUUUAUGAAAGAUUAACUUCUGCGAAAGCAUUUGCCAAGGAUGUUUNCAUUAA